Molecule: non-coding RNA, 4457 nt
Organism: Heterocephalus glaber (naked mole-rat)
Lineage: Eukaryota; Metazoa; Chordata; Mammalia; Rodentia; Bathyergidae
Source: RefSeq, a predicted model, not a curated record
CUAGUUUAUUCAUUUAUACAGAAAAUAAAAAUGAUAAUUAUUCAAUCAGAAAACAAUUAUAUUACUCAAAUAAGGUACGGCAGGAAACUCAGGCGAGGAGAGGACCCCUCGUAUAUGCAGUGGUGACAGGACAGUAAGGUUCUCGGGUCUGCAAUGCAGAGGCUGCCAAACUUUCCUGUGCCCUCAGAAGAGGGAGAGGUGGCACCCGGCAGGGACCCUCACUUGUUUGCCUCCGCCUUGGUCUCCACCCUCUGAGGAACAAAGACACAGUUACAGCCCUCAGACCCUGCUUGGCUUCGCUUUCCCCCAGCACUGGGUAACUCUGGAAAGUUGGGCUCAGACAGCCGCUGGCACUGGGAGGGGUCCCAUCAGGGCCCCUCCCUGGUAUGAUCCAGUGUCCUCCCCGUGCUGCUGCCCCCUGGAGGAUCACACACACACACACACACACACACACACCCGCAGGGCCUCCCAGAUAGCUGUGCUCCAACAAAAGCAGACUGGCCUGAAGGAGCCAGGCUCCACCCGGGUCAUCUGGCUAAGGUCAAGUGGCCCAUGAGCAGCUGUUUAACUUAUGAGCCCCUCUCUUCCUCUGUAACACGGGACUCAAUGUCAGCUGUUGUCUCAAGGAAAAAGUACGUAAGUAUGUUUUAAAUAUACAAAAAGCCCCUUCAAACUAGCAAAAGACCUAUAGACCAGGAGAAAAGGAGGUAGGUAGAAAAGCUAAUCAGAGAGGAAGCAAAAAUGGCCAAAACCAUUAAAAGAUGCUCGCUAAUAAAGCAAGGAAUUAAAAAUACAAUCAUCUAACACUACUUCUCAUCAGAGAUAUUAAUAAGAUUUGGAAGAUCAGAAAAAGUAUGGAAAGAAAGAUAUCCUCAUACACGUUGACUGGGAAGGUGGGUUACUAGGGAUGUGGUAGUAUCCAACAAAGUAUCCAUACUCAGUUAAAUGGGAAAUACAUGUCUUUUGACCUAGUGAAAUCUCUUCUCCUACUCUCCUAGAGACAUGCUUUUAUAUAUCCAAGAGUCACAUGUGUGAAAAUGUUCAACGCAGCACUGUUUAAACGUCCACGAGCUGAGGACCACAGGAUGGAUUACUCUGGAUCAGAAGCUGCCAUUACAUGGAUUUGUACUGGCGUGGAAUAUUAUCAAGCUGGAAGAGUGCCUGACACACUGGAGCCUCGGAGUUGAAAAUAUGCGUUGAAUAAAAAGAAAACACGUAUGUCACCUCUGCGGUCUUCUUGUAGCCCCUCACCCACUCUAUCUCAUCAUAUUCUCAGAGACCAGCCAAGCAGGCAUUCUUGUUGUCAGGGUUAGGAUCAAAGCUCAAGGCACCCAUGACCUACCCACAGUCACAACCCCACGCUGUGGAGCUGACACCCAUUCUGCCUGCAAGGAGGCAAACCACGAAGGAGACCUCACAUUUUUAGGCAGCUGGAAGGAAGGUCUGUCAGUAACGGCUUGCUGACCUGGACAGGAUUGCCCUUCCCCAGCCAAGGCCUCCACUCAGUGACACUUGCCCUUCCGGACCACUGCUCGGGCCCACUGGGCAUCCAACAACAGGUCUGAAAGGAGGUCAUUCAACAACAGGUUGCCAUGGAAACCCUAGCCCCCCUCCUUGCUCCUGGAACAAAAUGGAGCAGGCAGGGAAAUAGGAACGUUUGUUAAAAUGCCUGCUAUAAGCCAGGCAUGGUGAAUAAGAAAAAAAUUCAUCUGCGUCUUCCUUUACAAAUCACCGAAAUAAAAAGAAACUGUUUUGUUAAGCCAAGUCCAGAGCAGGCCUGCAUGGCUGCUUAAUGUAGGGCAGGCAUAACUGCAGAGGAAGUUCCGUGUGGCAUCCUCCAGGCAUCUCUCCUACGGCCCCUGGUGGCCCUGACAGCUGUGUAGUCAUCGGCCUCUGACACACGUGCUACCUGUGCAUGCCUGGAAUGCACACUCCAGACACACCAGGAAAAAGGACGGGCUGAUUCAGAAAACACCAACGCCGUCUGGAACAAGCCAGAGGACAGCCAAUGUGUCCGGAGACGGCAGGUGUCCCAGACGGGCAGAACGCUCUUCCCCUUUCCUCCCCACUCCCACGCUGUUAGACAGUGGGGGAAAUGCUGCUGUGUGGGACAUUGUUACCUUGGAACUUUCAUCUUAAUUACAGAAGCUCUUAGUAACCGUUGCUUAGUAACAAAUGCAUUUGAAAUAGAUUUGUUGACUUAUUAUGAGAUGCUCUGAAAAGACCUGAGAGUGAAAUUCACUGAUGGAAAAAAAUAGCAAGGGCCUGAUCAAGUAAACACAUUUUUUAGCUACCAAAGUACUUGCAAAGUUAGGGUGCUAACACAUCACAGAGCUAUCACUGAGUCUGACAGUAUUUGACAGUAUUUUCUGCUUUAUGACUGAUCUCUUAGGUUCGGGACCACUUCAGGUACAGGUAACCGACCGGAAAGCUAUCAAAGCUGGGUGACAUGGGUCUUAAGAGUUGUCACAGACACAAGAUGCUACACAGGAAAAAGCAGGGGCUGCUGGAUCUCCUCAGCUCCCUAACACCCUUCCUGGCAGGGCUUUGAAUGCUUCUUUCCUCAAGAUUUCAGAAAUGCUUGAGGCUUCUGACAAGUUGUCAAGUCAGAAGGCAAAAGCAGGCAAAGCUUCACCUCAAUCUUUCCAAGAAUAUUUCUUCAGCGCCUGUUAAUAAAAUCUGUGAUCAAAGAGGCAAUGGAAAUGCAUUUUAGGAUGACAUCCUCCGUGCGUCUUUACCAAGGCGAAACCCCAAGCCCACACUCCUGUCGCAGGGCCAGGACCUGCUCCUGUCUCCUGACAAGCCGGAUCACCCUUUCCAUCUCCCAGACUGGGGUCCUUCGCUUAUUGUCUCAGAGGAAGAAGUCCCCUUGGCAGAGCAAGUCCCUCUGCUCCCUGAGUCCUUCUGGCCUUUCUCUCAUGCUGCUUCCCCUCCAAUCUCUUCCUGCUUUUCUCUGACCAUCUUAACUUCCUGUCUGAAGACACAUGGCUGCCUAAUGUUUCUUCCUGUAUGCUUUCGGAUCCAGCCAUCUCCUUCCACUCUUCAAAAGGUACCUAGGGUCCCUCCCUGCUCUUCUUGCCCUGAAGUCCCUUCUGCUUCAAGUUUACCCAGGUCCAAGCCUGUGGCCUUCUGGAAGGAGGCAAGAGAACAACCGCUCUGUGGAUCCCUGUCUACCUGCUCUACUAGAACUUGGGCUGUGCUUGGUCGGCUUCGUAGAUACUGUGGCUGCCUAGCCCUCAGUGCAUCUGAACUUGAAGCUUCAUGCAUCGGUCUUCACGCUGGCUUUGCUGUGGCCACCCAACAUCAACCUAUUCAGGAAUUCCUUCAUUUAUCAAGCAUCAACAUGCCAGGGUUUUCCUAGGUGCCCGGGUCACAGAGAAAAUGAACAGGAGGUGUAACGGCAACCGAACUCUUCACGCUGGCUGCAGAACAAGGUUCCACUGUUGCAAUCCAUUCCUUGACCAAGGGAAAUCAGUGGCCCUGCUCAGAAAGGCUACGGGCAGCUGUCAAAUACGAAGCAAAUCAUGUUCUGAAAGACAAUGGUGAUGGCCAUCUGUGAAACGGAGCAAGACAAUCGGGGGACAAGGGGAAGGUUGCUGGCCACACAGAAGACAGCCUGAGCCAGGGGAAGGGCAGAGGAAUGGAUACGUGGGGAUGGGGACAGCGAGGAGGGAGGUGAGGACGACGACAGAGAUGCAGGAGGCGCAGGAGCCGCAGGAGCCGGAGUGGACUGUGGGAGAGAGGCCAGGACAGAAGGGUGCUGAUCAGCCAACCAAUCAGACAUCAGGACGCGUGCGCUAAGGGCCCGCCCUCCCACGUGACCUGUGCACUUACUGUCCCUGCCCUGUGCAAUCUCAGGCACACAUGCUCUUGAUCCAUUAAUGGAUAAUGAAGUGCUAUUUAAAGGCCACAUGCAAUACCAGCAGGCAACCCACUCGCUCCCCCUCUCCACCCCAGAUCCGCAGCCCCUGGGCCACGCACAGCCAUCAUACCCUCCAAGCUCUGGCUUGGCUUUGCCCUCGCCCUUCGAUGGGUAAGGACUGCCCGAGGAGCUGAUCAAGGAUUUCUAAGUGGCUUUUCAGACCCUGAGCCAGGGUAGAGGUAGAACAGCCCACCAGUCCGGUUAGUGAUCAAUGCGCCUCAGGAAUGCACAUAUCAAAAGAGUUAUCUGCCAGCUCCUCCUAGCAUUCAGUGGAAAUGAGUCAACAGAGGUGCCGGCAGGGUGAACAGAAGCUAACUGCAAAGCCACUCCUCCAGGACCCCCAGGAAAAUGCAAAGCUCAUUCUAAAUGAAAUGAAUGUGGGGCUCCAGAGCUGCGGUCAGUAGUAGCCAUUCAGACCUGGUCCUUUCAGAAGCGGCUUCUUUCAUAGUUGUGUGGGCCCCAUCUAGGUAUCGCCAGAGAGGCCUGCAGAACCAUCUGAUUCAGUAGCAGGACUGUGCCGAAUUCCAACAGCAAA